GCGGGAAUGGCGGAAUUGGCAGACGCGCAAGACUUAGGAUCUUGUGUCAUUGACGUAGGGGUUCAAGUCCCCUUUCCCGCACCA
Molecule: transfer RNA, 84 nt
Filed under: Synergistes sp. 3_1_syn1
Lineage: Bacteria; Thermotogati; Synergistota; Synergistia; Synergistales; Synergistaceae
Also listed under: 2 other names
Description: tRNA-Leu
Rfam family: tRNA
About the family: Transfer RNA (tRNA) molecules are approximately 80 nucleotides in length. Their secondary structure includes four short double-helical elements and three loops (D, anti-codon, and T loops).
Source: RNAcentral